This 71-nucleotide transfer RNA is filed under the name Crocodylus siamensis (Siamese crocodile). Its description in RNAcentral is "tRNA-Glu". Lineage: Eukaryota; Metazoa; Chordata; Crocodylia; Crocodylidae. The record is from RNAcentral.
GUUUUUAUAGUUGAAAAUACAACGGGGGCUUUUCGUGCCCUAGGUCUUGGUACAGAGCCCAAGUGAGAAUG